UACGGGGGGGCUAGCGUUGUUCGGAAUUACUGGGCGUAAAGGGCGCGUAGGCGGCCUACUACGUCGGACGUGAAAUCCCUCGGCUCAACCGGGGAACUGCGUCCGAUACUGGUGGGCUCGAAUCCGGGAGAGGGAUGUGGAAUUCCAGGUGUAGCGGUGAAAUGCGUAGAUAUCAGGAAGAACACCCGUGGCGAAAGCGGCUCUCUGGAACGGUACUGACGCUGAGACGCGAAAGCGUGGGGAGCGAACAGG
RNAcentral lists this ribosomal RNA (252 nucleotides) under uncultured bacterium. Its description in RNAcentral is "partial 16S ribosomal RNA". It matches the Rfam family "Bacterial small subunit ribosomal RNA", at positions 524 to 776 of the family's 1533-position model. The record is from RNAcentral.